AUCAAUGUAACUCUCAACUUCUAUCCAUAUACAUUUCUGUAACAUUCUCAAUUGCCACGUAUAAAUCUUGAAUUCAUUAGAACCAUUCUUGAGAGCCAUCCACUCUACUCGAAUCUCAAUAGCACCACCCAAAUGGACCGAACAACCUAUGCCCCAUUUUCACCCUGAUGAUAAGCUAUAAUUACAUAAUUUAGUCGCUUAUUACACUCUAAUUUACUACAAUUUUAUUGAGUUUGAGCUCUCAUCGCUUGUGCUUUACAAUAAUUGUGUAUUUUAUGACUUGUAGGAGUUAUUAUGAGAUAUGUGGAUGUUAUGGAAUGAAUUCAAGUAAUUUGGAGCUUUGAAGUCAGAGUAAAAGCUUAAGAAAUUAAGUUGGGAUCGUGUUCGAGGAUUAACGGAUGAUAGUUAGGACGAACAAAAAAUCGAGUAGGCAUAUUGCGCACUAUCUCGUAAAAUGCACAUAACUUUUCCCUCAAAACUCCACGUGGGCUCCAAAAUAUAUGAUUGGAAAGCUACUCAAAGGGAUACAAUCUUCAUGUUUUACGUUUUUCCAAAUUCCAAACGAAACAGGGUGAAAAGUGCAUGUCAAGUGCACGACCGUGCAUUGGCCACCUAGACGGGGCAGAACACUGGGCAAUGUGCGUGGUCUGAGCACGGUCCCACCGUGGACGCGCACGUCCUAUCGAAAAAAGUGUCUUUUUGGCCUAGGAGAAGGUAUAACUAUUUAAGACAAACCCUACUUAAUAUAUAUACAUGAAAAAAUGGUAUUUUGAGGACUUUUGACAUAGUUUAGACCUAAGGAGGCUAAGGAGACCGGGGAUUCGACCUAAGGAGGCAAGAACACACUAGGAGCAAUGCGGAGAAUUCUUCUACGAGUUUUUCACUUCCUUCUUCCUAUUUCUAUUGUUGGUUAUGAAUUUUAGUAUUGUGUUUUCAUAUCCUUUUAUGAAUAGCUAAUUAUUUAGUCUAAGGUUGAUGGAACCAAUUGUUAGAUGAAAUUUUGACUCAGUUUUGUUAUAAUCGAGCCGAGUUUAUUAUAUAAUUGUUCAACUAUAUUUUGUAUGGUGAUUAACUGAAUGGGCCCUUGAUUAAUCAUGUCUAUUCGUCUGGUAUUGCUUGAAAAAGAAUACUAGGUUAGAUUGUUGUUGAACAAUACCACUUUGGGUAAUUGAAGAGAUUCAUUACUUGAAUUUAAAAGUGGGGUUAGAAAUAACGAAACUUUGGUAGGAUAAUUUAGAGCUGCAUAAAUUAUCAGCCAGAGUAGUUAGAGAGAAUGCUCUAGUAAAUUAUCAUAGUGGAUCGAGAAAUAAUUGCGGUAAUGCAUAGCUCAUAAUCCUCAUAGAGUAUUACGGCGAGAUUAUAGAAAAAGAGUUAAGGAUUAAUCUAGCAAUUGAGGAAAUCAAUACCCUAGAUCUAUCUACUAUUGAAUUAUCUUUAAUUUGGAAUAUUGUUAUUCUUAAUAUCACUUUACUUUAGUUAAACAAAUCCCAAUAUUUAUUGAUAAAAAUCUUGCACUCGGGAAUUGUUUGAGCUUGCACUAGCAUCACUAAAAGUUGUAAUAAAUAGGUUCGUUUCCUGAGGAUUCGACUCUGGACUUGUAAACCAGAUAUAUUUAUAACGACCGCUUUGUCUUUUAUAAGGCAUAGUUAGGUGUGAUCAAAUUUUGGCGUCAUUCUCGAGAGCCAUCCACUCUACUCGAAUCUCAAUAGCACCGCCCAAACGGACAAAACGACCUAUCCCAAUUUGCACCCCAACACCCUAAGAAGUAAUUCACAUCUCUAAGCAACCGAGUGAACACCGACUCCAUGACGUUACACCUUUACGAAUAACAACUCAAUCGUCCAGUGUAUCUCAUAUACCCAUAAAGCAUAAUACAACCCUUAUUCAAAAAUUCCUUUACUCGAGUCACCCCUGAUAUCGACCUCUGCAAAGCAUAACCGAUUCGCAAUAUACCUCAAACUAAAACUAAUACAACACAUAACCGCGCAAUCAACCCAUCGAUAACCAACUCCCCUACUUGGCUCAAAGCCUAGGAAUAAAGAAUUUGGUAACUUAUAAUACCCCUACUCUGUUGCCACCCAAAAUCCGCAUUGAAAUUCAACUAGAUCCUUCAUAAUCUUAUGUAACACAAAACUAUCUAAUAUCUUAAAUCAUCUGUGAAUCUCACAUUCACCUUUGUAACACUCAAGAAAACCCUCAUAAUGAUCCCAGACCCAAAUUGCACUACAUAUAAUUCGUUGGUAAAAGAUGACUCCUAACAGCACAACAUAGGAAUCACACAACCUCACGACACCCCGAAUGGGAUAACUCACAUGCUUAGCCUCAACUGACAUCUUUCUAUACCCUUUAACAGUCAUAACUACUAUGCAAAUACUUAGUCUUACCAAUUCUGAACUCAUAAACAAGACAUGAAAAAUCUACUUCACUCGACAAUUAAACAACAUGAAAGGUCCUUCAACAUACCCAUAACUCGAGAUUACACAUCAAAUCAAGUCAGAAAUCAAGCAUCAAUUUACAUCUCAAUCAAACUCUUCUUCACAUUCAAACCAUAUAAACACUUCACAAAGUCAUGUCAUACUCAUUACAUAGCCGCCCAACCACAAAUUCUACCAGUAGGGAACUACUCACACAAUAAUCAUCCAUGUGCUCAAGCUACAGUCAAAACCCGGCCUCAAGUCCCCCAAACUGGCCAUCAUCAGCGUACUAAAAUUACAUCUCAUACCUCAUCACUGGAAUCAUAAGCCAUCGAUGAACAGUUGAUACUGAGCUCUCACGUGCACAUAUGAAUACAAAGUGUUCAGUAGUAAAUAUGAAUUUUUAGAUCAAAUUUUUAUAUAAUUCUACUAUAUCGACUUGUGUGCAUGGUGGGAAUCAGUUCCCAGAUGAAUCAAAGUUGAACUGGGAGAAGGAACCUAGUUUUGGAAGUUUAAACAAUAAAAAUUGGAUCGGAAUUGGACUUUUAAGUAAACGGCCCCAGAAUGGGUCGUGGAUGAUCUCAAUAGCUUCGUAUGGUGAUUUUGGACUUAGGCGCAUAUCCGGAUUUCGAAUUUGGAGGUCAUAGGAUAAAUUGAGGUAUUUCGGCAAAAGUUGGAAAAGUUGAAGUUUGGAGAAUGAAGAAGUUUAACCCAUAGUUGACUUUUGUGAUAUCGGGGUUAGAAUAUGAUUCUGAAAGUUGGAACAACUUGGUUAUAUCAUUUUGGACUUGUCUGCAGAAUUUGGCAUCAUUUCGAGUUGAAUAGAUAGAUUUUGGCACAAGUUUUGGAAGUUAGAAGGUUUGAAAGUUCCUAAGUUCGAUUCUUGGUGUUAUUCGAUGUUUUGGCAUUGUUUGAUAUGAUUUGAGACCUCGAACGAGUCUGUGUUAGGUUAUAUGACUUUUUUGUGAGUAUGGACGAGGUCCCCCGGGCCUCAGGUAUGUUCCGGGUGGACUACAGUUCAGUUUCCCUUUUUUUUUGAACUGUUGUUUUCUAUUUCUAGUAUCCUAUUUCACGAUCGCGAACAGCCUUUCGCGUUUGCGAUGCUUUGCUGACUACCUAGAAAUUCUUCUUCACAUUCACGUAACACUCCUCGCAUUCGCGAACCUUUGCUUCAUCCUUCUUCGCAUUCACAUCCUUGUCUUAGCGUAGUGUUACUUUGGAAGGUGAGUUAUUUCUUCGUCGUGUUCGCGUUCAAACUCUUACAUUCGUGAAGGUCUGCCUUCCCCUUCUUCGUGUCCGCAGCCCCUUCAUCGCGUUCGCAUACGAACUUUUUGGUAGCUUCAUUCUUCUCUUCUUCGCGAACGCGAGCCCUUUUUCGCAUUCGCGAUGCUUUAAUAUCUGGGCAGAAUAUAAGUUUUCCAAAUCGAUGGUUAGGCCAUUUUUAACAUUUUUGGAGUUCUAGAGCUCAGUUUUGGGCGAUUCUUUGUGGGUUUUUCAAGUAGAACGAUUGUGUAAGUGUUCUUCACCUAGAAUUGAUUAUAUUCCAUGGAUUUAUCUUUUUUUUAUCAUUUAAUUUAUGAUUUGGGUUGAGUAAAAUGUUAGUUUUUGAAGAAAAUUCCUAAAAAUAAAAAUCGUGAUUUGCGGGGCCAAAUGGUGUCGAAAUUUAAUAAAUUUGUGUGGUUGAACUCAUUUUGGAAUGGGUGAUCGAAUUUUAUAAAAUUUGACAGGUUCCGAGGUGCGGACCUGGGGGUCGACUUUCGGGUCGAUUUUUAUAUUUUUGUAAAGUUUGAAACUUUAUUAUUCAGAAUAGUUCGUUAUUCGAUUUAUGUGUGUUUUGGAGUUGUUAUAGUUAGAUUUGAAUUUAUAUAUAUAUAUAUAUANNNNNNNNNNNNNNNNNNNNNNNNNNNNNNNNNNNNNNNNNNNNNNNNNNNNNNNNNNNNNNNNNNNNNNNNNNNNNNNNNNNNNNNNNNNNNNNNNNNNNNNUAUAUAUAUAUAUAUAUAUUAACUUCAAUAACUGUUACAUCCUUAAUUCAAUUAGUUUCUCAAUUAUAUCCCCUUAAAUCGUCUGAGGUUGUAUUUUUAAAAAAAAAGAGUUUCUACUAAGUUUUAAGUUAUCAACUCCCCCAUUAAAGGUAAUAAUUCUUCCAAUAUUGUAUUUUAAAUUUAAAGGGGUACUUUCUUACUCGAAUGAUUUCUAAAACUAACUUCAUCUUUUCUUGCCGAUUUUUCAAGCUUAUUUAGAAAUUAAAAUUUAAUUUAUAUUAUGUAAAUAGGACUUCUUGAACACAUCAAGUGCAUUUGUAAGGAUAUUUUGUAUUGUAUAGCAUGUAAAUUUUGUUGUUAAGAGUGAGAUGGAAGAUAUGUGGGUACAAGGUGUUAAAUGUGCAGAAAGAUCGAAGGUUGAGAUUAUGAUAUGAGAAAUCGAGGAUUGAAAUAGUCGGGAUGGUGUAUUAAACAUGAUGUGAUUGAUUGGAUUGGCAUUAUUUUAUUUAAUUGGAUACAUUCUUACUUGUCUCCGUCUCUAUUACGUCAGUGUUGAAUUGCUUGGGUUAUCCGAUUUACAUGGUUUCUGUUUGCUACUAUAUGUGCUCUCCUUUUAUUGAUUAUACUAUUUGUACUUGGAUUUUCUCUCCGAGGUUGAUAUCACUUCGUUUUCUUUAUCUUGAUGUUUUAUUAUCAUAAUUUGUUCAAUUCAUUUGACCAGUAGGUGUCCCGACUAUUCUUCGUCACUAUCCCACCGAGGUUAGUCAUCGCGGUGGAGACAAGGUAAACCCGCUGCAAUAUUCGCAAGUGGAGUCACCUUCAUUUGUAUGUAUUUCCAUUUACUCUUUUUGUUUCGGGGCAGUAAUUUCUCUUAGAUAGACUUGUGACUUGUACCACCGAUUUUGAAAAUUUUGAUUUAUUCAGAGUUGGUUAAUUUAAAGUUAAUAAGCAUCAAUGUUAUUUCAGUUUAUGUUAGGCUUACCUAACUUAGAGACUAGGUGCCAUCGCGACUCCUUCAGAGGAAUUUUUGGGUCGUGACAGAUACUCUCUUGAGAACCGAGCAACGAUUCCUGCAUAAAAUAUAACAUCAUUUUCCUCUAUAGAUGCUAUUAUUAUACAUAUAAAACAGUGAUCAUUAGCACCUGCAAAGAUGAAACUUACUGCCAGUUGAAAUCUGGAGGAAUAUCUAAUUCCAAAUUAUCCAGCUCUAAAAUUCCACAGGUUGUGUUACUAUUUUCUUGUGAUAAAUGGCAAAUGCAAUGAGAAAGAUCCAAGAUUAUGUCCAAAGCUAUCAAGAUAAAAGCAAGAAGUUCAUCACACAACAGAGAAUUAACAUCAUUUGCGUCAGCUCUUUAUGAUUCUCCAGCUAAAGUCGGGAUGAACUCAUCAAUAAAUUUGUGUUGCUCGAAAUUUUUCACCUUGCACUUUUCUUCCAAAUACUCCAAGAGCUCCACAUCAGAUGGUUAAACAUCACACCAACAGGUAGAUGAGGCCAUACCUGAGAAACAUGGAUCAGUAAGCAGCAAAUUAUUAAAGUAAAUUUGAAGAACUAAGUUAUAAUACAUGUAUUUGCUGGCCUAAUGACAAGAGGGGUUGCUCUGAUGGUAAGCAACCCCCACUUCCAACCGAGAGGUUGUGAGUUCGAGUCCCCCAAGAGCAAGGUGGGAAGUUCUUGGAGGGAAGGUUGCCGGGGUCUAUUUGGAAACAGCCUCUCUACCCAAGGGUAGGGGUAAGGUAUGCGUACACACUACCCUCCCCAGAUCCCAUUCAAUGGGAUUAUACUGGGUUGUUGUUGUUGGGAUGUACCAAUAUCAUAAUAUCUAUUUUGCAUCAUGUCAGUGAAGAUUCAUAUCCAGGCGCGGAUGUGUAGGCAAAUUGAUGGGGCACGUGAACUCAUGGUCUUUCAGUCAAACUAGGUACUGUUUGUAUUUGCUGGCCUAAGUUUGAGCUAAGGGGAAAAGGAAUACAUUUUACUGCAGGGACACUUACCUAAUCAUGAAAAGAAGCAAGAUCCACCAUAUGAUGUAUUAAAUGUCAAACUAUCCCUGUUAACUUGUCCUGCAAAAUACAAGCUAAAGACAAACUUCACCUACGAACAAGUCUAAACAAGAUAGCGAAAGAACAUCAAUUCAAAUUCGAAGUAACAAUUUCAAUUCAUGAGAAUUAUGAGAGUCCCAAAAAGAAAAUCCCAAUGAGGCCCAAAAAAGAAGAAGAAAUAACACCUGCAAAUAAAAAGCCUUAAUUUCUAAUCCAAAUCCAAUAGAGAAAUAGGACAAGGUCAGUCGUACUUCUUCUGUAAUACGCAAACACCUAGCCAAUCGAUACCGAAAAUUAAAUUUUGCAGUACAAGAGUACGAUUACCUUGAUGGAACAAAGCUAAAGCAUCGAACAAACACAGCCAAAACUUGGGAAAGAUUAAUUGAAUUUCAGGCUUAGCAAUGGAAAAAAGCCGAAGAAUUAGGUUUAAACUCCAAUUUAACAGCUCAAAAUUAGGUAAAACCUAUAAAUUUGCCAAGUAAGAAUUAGGUAAAGCAUAUAAAAAGAAGAAUCAGAGCAACACCCAUAAAUCGCAGCAAUUGUAAAUAUUUUUCGAAUAAAUCUGUACAACAAAAUAUAAAUAAAGACCAAGAACAACAAACUAACCAAUUGACCUGUAGAAACAAAAAGGAUGUACUGGGAGAGCAGAGCAGGUUAAUCACUUUAAGAUACAAAGAAAUCUAAAAAAAGCAGAGGAAGAAGAAACCCCAAUAUUAAGCAGUGGCUGUAGAGGUAAAUGUCCAAGUAUAAUGCUGAUAGUAUCAGGGGAAGAUGUAAAAUAGGCUUUGAAAAUGUCCCAGAAAUUUCCAUUAUUUACAAAUUUCUCUGAUGGCAAUUAAUGUAAAAAUGUUGAAAAACAGGGGCAAAAAUAUAAAAACGGAAGCUGGCAUGUCGAUGGAGACGCGUCUGUGUCAGCUGAUACACUCGCACUUUUAAC
Molecule: long non-coding RNA, 7371 nt
Filed under: Nicotiana benthamiana
Lineage: Eukaryota; Viridiplantae; Streptophyta; Magnoliopsida; Solanales; Solanaceae
Description: long non-coding RNA (NBEN_LNC027207)
Source: RNAcentral